RNAcentral lists this ribosomal RNA (321 nucleotides) under uncultured eukaryote. RNAcentral describes it as "partial 18S ribosomal RNA". It matches the Rfam family "Eukaryotic small subunit ribosomal RNA", at positions 1470 to 1796 of the family's 1831-position model. The record is from RNAcentral.
CCCUUAGAUGUUCUGGGCCGCACGCGUGCUACACUGAGUGGAUCAGCGGGUCAGGUUGCGCGAAAGUGUUUCCUAAUCUUUAAAUCCGCUCGUGAUGGGGAUUGACGGUUGCAAUUUUCCGUCAUGAACGAGGAAUACCUUGUAAGCGCGGGUCAUCAUCCCGCGCUGAAUACGUCCCUGCCCUUUGUACACACCGCCCGUCGCUCCUACCGAUUGAGUGGUCCGGUGAGGCUUUGGGAUCUGAGCGGAAAGAGCGUUUCGCUGUUUCUGCCCGGAAAACUCAGUCGAACCUUUCAUUUAGAGGAAGGAGAAGUCGUAACA